AUUAUUUUAAGAUUAUUUUUUAUUGUUGAAAAAAUUAAAAAUAAAUUGUUUUUAACAAAAAUUAAAAUUUAUAAUAUUUCAUUUUUUGGUUUUUUGUUUUAAAUUAAAAUAAUAAAUAUGGGGGAAAAAAAAAUUUUGUUAUAAAUUAUAUUAGUUUAUUUUAAUUAAAAAUAUUUUUUAUUAAAUUUGUUUUUUUUAUUUUUUUAUAAAAAAUAUUAAUUUAAUUAUUAUUAUUGAGUUUAAUUUAGUUAUUUUUAAAAAAAUUUUGUAUAAAAUAAAUUUGAUAAUAAAUGUUUUUUAAAUUCUUUGGGGGUUUAGUUUAUGAUUUUUUGUUUCUGCUCAUUGUUAAAUAAAAGCACUUUUAGCGUGAUUGGCCAAAAGGUAA
This 385-nucleotide ribosomal RNA is filed under the name Meloidogyne enterolobii. RNAcentral's name for it is "partial 16S ribosomal RNA". Lineage: Eukaryota; Metazoa; Nematoda; Chromadorea; Rhabditida; Meloidogynidae. The record is from RNAcentral.